GUAAUUGCUGCACAAGAGAGAAAAUUUAUUAGACAUUACAAGAAAAAUAACAUUAAGGGAUAUAAUUGUGGGUCUAAUAAAUUGUGUUGUAUAUGGGUCUACAAAGGAUUUAUUGCAUAUAAUGAUGACAUUAAAUUACCUGUAGAAAUAGGUACAAAUACCAAGGUAUUGCAUAUAAUUGGAUUAUUUUAACAGAAUAUAUGUAUAAGCUGUGUAAGCUGUAUUCUUCCACAAAGUGUUGUCAGCCGGCCGGAUAUCAAUUGAACUUGUGACCCGAGACACUACGUCACAUUUGGAGUGAGGGCCCGCACAGCGCUGGGAAUAAUACAGCAGCCGAGAUUGAAGUUCAAGUGACUACUUUUGUAACCAUAUUUGGGCAUAAUCCGGGACUCAGUCUUUAAUUGUAGUAUAAAACCCCAAAGACUGACGCCCCAAGUGCUUUUUAGAUCAUUCAACUAGCUGAGACUACUUGUAUGUCAGUCUAAUAGUCGGUACUGCCCGUAGCUUAGGCAGAUAACCACUUCUACGUUUCCAGCAAGAUCCUGUAAUACAUUUGUUAGUAAUAAAACUUCAUUUAUAUU
Cryptotermes secundus is the source of this 581-nucleotide long non-coding RNA. RefSeq lists it as uncharacterized. The record is from RefSeq and is a predicted model, not a curated record. The transcript is spliced from 2 exons. NCBI's taxonomy places the organism in Eukaryota, Metazoa, Arthropoda, Insecta, Blattodea, Kalotermitidae.